This 301-nucleotide ribosomal RNA is filed under the name uncultured bacterium. Its description in RNAcentral is "partial 16S ribosomal RNA". It matches the Rfam family "Bacterial small subunit ribosomal RNA", at positions 509 to 807 of the family's 1533-position model. The record is from RNAcentral.
CAGUAGCCACGGUAAUACGGAGGGAGCUAGCGUUGUUCGGAAUUACUGGGCGUAAAGCGCACGUAGGCGGUUAUUCAAGUCAGAGGUGAAAGCCCGGGGCUCAACCCCGGAACUGCCUUUGAAACUAGAUGACUAGAAUCUUGGAGAGGUCAGUGGAAUUCCGAGUGUAGAGGUGAAAUUCGUAGAUAUUCGGAAGAACACCAGUGGCGAAGGCGACUGACUGGACAAGUAUUGACGCUGAGGUGCGAAAGCGUGGGGGGCAAACAGGAUUAGAUACCCGAGUAGUCCCUGUCUCUUAUAC